CUCAAAGAUCCCAACAUUCAUUCUAUCUGUUAUUGCUGCAGCUGUUAUUUACAGAGUAAACCCAAAUCAUAAUGUAAAAGAAGAAAGAUGCAGUUUUGCUGCUGUUUUUCUUGCUGAAACAGUGGAUGUUGCUGCUGGUUUUGCUGCAUAAACAUGAAGAAUUGCUGGUAUUUUAGCUAUGUUGUUUUGGUGAUGAAACGGGCAGCAUUGCUGCUGUUUUUGGCUCUGUUACGUCUAAGAUCAGUUGGUUAUUCAACAGAUGCGUUUGCUCUUGCUGUUCUGGAGGGCAGCACACAAGCAAGCGGUAUGGUUUCCAGAAGAGUUACACAUUGCUCUUGAUGUUAUUCUAGUAAGAAGUAGUCCAUUGUGUCCUCUUUGAAUGUAUAAAAAUGUUGAGGUAUAAUUCUGGUCUUAAGCAAAUGUAUUAUAAUACUUUUUUUGUUAUUUUGGGAAUAGCUGGCUAGUAACUCGUCCCAAAAUGUCGAACUACUGCUUCAAGGAUGACUCGGGUAGUCUUAUUGUAUACUCAGCUGUCAAACUAACUUGUGAAUUACUAUCGAUAUGUAACUUUUGU
This is a long non-coding RNA of Erigeron canadensis, 574 nucleotides long. RefSeq lists it as uncharacterized. The record is from RefSeq and is a predicted model, not a curated record. The transcript is spliced from 3 exons. NCBI's taxonomy places the organism in Eukaryota, Viridiplantae, Streptophyta, Magnoliopsida, Asterales, Asteraceae.